AGGCGGUUCUCUAAGAGGCCCGCUAUCGGAAUGGGUACAAUUUAAACCCUUUAACGAGGACCUAUGAGAGGGCAAGUCUGGUGCCAGCAGCCGCGGUAAUUCCAGCUCUCAAGGUGUAUAUCGCCAUUGCUGCGGUUAAAAAGCUCGUAGUUGGAUCUGCGCCUUCGGACUCGGUCCUCCCAACGGGUGCGAACUGAGCUCCAAGGCUACUACUGCUGGUUUUCCCUUGAUGCUCUUCACUGGGUGUCUUGGGUGGCUAGCGAGUUUACUUUGAAAAAAUUAGAGUGCUCAAAACAGGCUAUUGCCUGAAUACCGGUGCAUGGAAUAAUAGAAUAGGAUCUCGGUCCUAUUUUGUUGGUUUUCGGAACUGAGAUAAUGGUUAAGAGGGACAGACGGGGGCAUUCGUAUCGCUGCGUGAGAGGUGAAAUUCUUGGACCGCAGCGAGACGCCCAACUGCGAAAGCAUUUGCCAAGAAUGUCUUCGUUAAUCAAGAACGAAAGUCAGAGGUUCGAAGGCGAUCAGAUACCGCCCUAGUUCUGACCGUAAACGAUGCCAACUAGCGAUCCGCCGGUGGUAAUUACGCCCCGGCGGGGAGCUUCCCGGAAACGAAAGUCUUCCGGUUCCGGGGGAAGUAUGGUUGCAAAGCUGAAACUUAAAGGAAUUGACGGAAGGGCACCACCAGGAGUGGAGCUUGCGGCUUAAUUUGACCCAACACGGGAAAACUCACCCGGCCCGGACACCGUAAGGAUUGACAGAUUGAGAGCUCUUUCUUGAUUCGGUGGUUGGUGGUGCAUGGCCGUUCUUAGUUGGUGGAGCGAUUUGUCUGGUUUAUUCCGAUAACGAACGAGACUCUGGCCUACUAACUAGUGACAGAAUUAUUGCUGUUCUGGUUACUUCUUAGAGGGACAAGUGGUGUUCAGCCACACGAAAUUGAGCAAUAACAGGUCUGUGAUGCCCUUAGAUGUCCGGGGCUGCACGCGUGCUACACUGGAGGAAACAGCAUGCAAAACCAUUGCUGAGAGGCAUUGGUAAACCCGAGAAAAUCUUCCGUGAUCGGGAUCGGGAAUUGCAAUUAUUUCCCUUGAACGAGGAAUUCCCAGUAAGUGUGGGUCAUCAGCUCGCGCUGAUUACGUCCCUGCCCUUUGUACACACCGCCCGUCGCUGCCCGGGACUGAGCCGUUUCGAGAAAAGCGGGGACUGCUGCUGUUGGGGCUUUCGGGCCUUGGCUUCGGUGGAAACCGCUUUAAUCGCAGUGGCUUGAACCGGGCAAAAGUCGUAACAAGGUUUCCGUAGGUGAACCUGCGGAAG
This 1308-nucleotide ribosomal RNA is filed under the name metagenome. Its description in RNAcentral is "SSU rRNA". It matches the Rfam family "Eukaryotic small subunit ribosomal RNA", at positions 483 to 1823 of the family's 1831-position model. The record is from RNAcentral.